Molecule: long non-coding RNA, 2883 nt
Filed under: Homo sapiens (human)
Lineage: Eukaryota; Metazoa; Chordata; Mammalia; Primates; Hominidae
Description: non-protein coding lnc-ABT1-3:12
Rfam family: tRNA (bases 2694-2766)
Source: RNAcentral
UAAAGUGCAGGCUAAGACAUAGUUUUUUUGGCAAAAUUCAGUCAGACUACAUCAAGUAAACUCCCUAAGUCUCCUAGUAUAAUUCAUGGCACAAAAACUGGGGAAAAAACAGGGAGGAUAUGUUUAUAAGUUCAGUUUGGGUUUUUUGUUGAGUGAAUGUCUCCAGUCAUAGAGAUGCAAGUGUAGAUACACCGUAAGAGUAGUAUGAACAGGUGCAUAACCUCUCCAGAAUCUUUUCCUUCUGUUAUCCAUGCUACAGUGUUUAUGGAGGAUGUUUUCUUCACCUAUGAAGUGUGAUGGGGGCUGAAGCUGCAGCAAGACUCAUGCUGUUCACCUCAGGAGCUGACACAGUAAAUGUGGAUAAACCUCAAUCCUUUAAUAUCUUUAUGACUUCUUUCCCAGUUACCCCAGCGAAUUUACAGAUUGAGGUUAAAACCACAACAGGAUUAUCUUCCUGGAAAGAAUAGGCUUCCCUUUAAGGUUUCACAUAGAUACUGGGUGAGGAAGGAGCCCUAAAUUGCUUGAAAAAUUGAAUGCUCUUUGGGCAAAGCAGGAAGCCUUGCUAUGGAAGAGCAUCAUUUGAACAUAAAUCAGAGUCUCAGUACAAACAGAGUGCUCAGGACAUCAAGAUGGUUAACCAGAGAGCCUGGCCAGAAUAUCUGCGGUGGAGAGAAACGAUCUUGUUGGGAGAAGGAUGACAAUAAUUGGGGACUUAGAAUAAAGGCUAAAAAUGAUUCAAAGAGAAUGCAAAAAGAAUCAGGCACACAUCCUUUACUCUGUUGUGCAAAUCUCACCUUACUGUGUGUUUGUAUUCUAUUCCUCCACAAUCUUUAUUUUAUUUUAUUUUUAUGUUCACAGAGAUUUGUUGGUGCCAACUAAAUGAGCCCAACAGCCAGUGACAACAGAACUGCACUAAAAAAAGUCCCUCAUCAGCUCUUGAGAGCAGGUUCCUUAAAGGUGAACAAUAUUCCACAUACAAGGACUUUUUCAGCACCAUGCAUUAGAAAUGGAAGUGAAUGUUUAUUAUUUUUUGUAUAAGUUGGUUGAUACGGCUUUUCAGCUUCCCUCAGUAUCAUUAUCCAAAUUUUGUAGAUGACACUAAAGCUCAGAGGAGUUAAACCAUUUUCCUCAAAUCACAUAGUUUUAAAUAGGAAAACCAGAUAUGAAAAGCAGAUUUUUUUCUAAAUUAAAAAAAAAAAAAAAACUUGAGCUCUUGCUUUACCCUAGCACAUAGUCUCACCAUCUGUUUUCUCCAUGCCAGGUCAUUCAUGUAACAUUCAUUCACAUAACAAAUACAAAUAAAUGAGUGGAUUCAUUCAUCAGCUAUUAAUUCAGAAUCUCUUUUGUGUCUACCACACUAGGCUCAAGACUUCCCAGUGUCUUUGUCUCCUCUCCCUCAAAUCUCUCCACCCAAUGUCUUGACAAAUACUGUAGAUCCUUCCUGCACAGCAUCACCAGAAUGUUUUUCUUUCUUUUCAUUCACCUCUGUCAUCAUCCAUGCUAUGGUGUUUAUGGAGGAUGUAUUCUGCAGCAGGAAGUGUGAUGGGCACUGACGCUGCAGAAAGACUCCUGUUGUCCACCUCGGGAGCUGACACGAUAAAUGCGGGUAAAUCUCAAUCCUUUAAUAUCUUUAUGACUUCUUUCUCUUUCUCUUCAAUUUCUAUUUUCUCAUGUUCAAGCUCUGACAUUCAAAACUAAACACCUUUCUCUAACAUGUUGCUUUAAUUAUUUAAGCAUUCUGCCUGGGAUUUUUUCAAUUACUCUUGGGAGUUUUCAUAAAACUCUACCAACAUAUCUCCAAGUGGCCAGGCUUUUCAAUCACUGCUUCCCUCCGUGUGUAUUUCACACACACACACACACACACACACACACACAGCACUUAAAUUGAACAGGUUUAUUUCUUCACACAGGAAUUCCUACGAACAGCCCGGUUUUCUCCACCAUAUGUCCACUCCUUCUCUGCAUAGCUGAAUUUUGAUUCUUACACUCUAAUAUUUUACAUAUUCUUACACUCUGAUAUGAUCUUGUCUCUUAUUCUUUAUGGCUCUGCUCUGUAAUUUUGUUGUUGUUGUUCUGAGAUAUAGUUGGACAUGUAACUUGUACAUGACACACCUUAGCAAGGAGGCAACCUAUAUCUCAGAUGCAAGUGAAAGAAGCACUCCCCAGGGGUUUCCUAAGGUAGUGGUCAGCACGCUGGCUUCAUUCCUGAAAGGGCCUAGUUAUGAAAACAACAGGAGCUUUUUGCCUUCCAGAAAUCUGUACCAUCUCAAAAUCCCCAGAGAGUCUCAGCUACAAGGAACAAGUGAUAAUACUAUCUCACUUUUAUAAACACACACACACAACACACACACACAAAAUCAUUUAAUCAUUUUUAAUUAUUUAAUCAUUUUUUAAAAAUCAGUGACACUUUAGAUGGGCAGGUCUAGGCAGGGCCUCCUUUCCUGGAAUGUGCCUUUUUCUGUCCCGGAAUACCCUAAACUUGACAUUUUGGCAGUGUGAGUUUUCCCUUUUUGACUUUCUCCUUGUUCCCUUUCCUCUUCCUUCUUUGCAGAGAAUGAGUAGCCACUGCACCUUGCCCUGGGCCAUCAGUGAGAAGAUCUGCUCUUAGUAGAGCCCUGCUUUCCCGCUGAAGGCCCUGAAAUCCCCUGUGUUCCAGGCCACCCACUAAGGAUCAAUAAAGCUCCCCUGAUGUGGGGGAAUUAGCUCAAGUGGUAGAGCGCUUGCUUAGCAUGCAAGAGGUAGUGGGAUCGAUGCCCACAUUCUCCAAACUUUAUUAUUUAGACCCUGGGUCUCCAAACACUCAGGUCUCCAAACCCAAGUCAGAGAACAGGAUGCUGCUUUGGUUCAAGAUGUAGGAGCAGCAACAAUACAGGGCUGGUGACG